RNAcentral lists this ribosomal RNA (3400 nucleotides) under Triticum aestivum (bread wheat). RNAcentral's name for it is "partial small subunit ribosomal RNA". Lineage: Eukaryota; Viridiplantae; Streptophyta; Magnoliopsida; Poales; Poaceae. The record is from RNAcentral.
GGGCGUGAGGUGCGUUGGAGAGGAGGAGAAGAGCAGAGAGGAGAGGGAGCGGCGGCGGCGCCGGUGACGAAGAGGUAUGGGACGGAGGACAAGCGAGGCGGCCACGCUACGAUCGGUGUGGCGUCGGUGAGCAUUUUGCCGCUGCUACUCCUCCGAGCCGGGAACCGCGUCUGGGUGCGAGGGCUCGUCGCCGUCGCAGCCUAAAGAGACAGAGCGCCGCGGUUCGGAGGGCAGACGCAGCGCUACGGCGGCCGUACCUCCGGGUCCGAGAGCGUCGGAGACGCCACAGGCCACGAGGCCGCUCCAGAGACCCCUGGUGUACCGCCCCUUGACCGCGCCGAAGGCCAGCACCCAAGGCCACCGAGUUUCGGCAUGUAGACUCGGCGGCGGAGGUCGAGCAAAUAAGGUAUAAGGCGGAUCCCGAAGUGGCGGUAGCGUCUAGGGCGCAAGCAGACGAUGCCCAGGAGGCACAAGCACCGACGACACAGCUGUGGCUCUCUUAAAGAAGUAGGCAGUCCCUCAGCUAACUCCUGGUUUACCCAUAGAACAGUGAGUAGAGGCCGUUCAGUCCGCAGUCAGACAGGUACCACCUCGUCUCUUACAACGGCCCGAGUGGCAGGAGCAGUAUCCACUGGUGUUGGGAGGGUUGGCUGGCAUUAGGAAACAAGAACGUAACGUAACGUUGGAGUACGAACUGACGUGUAGAACCAACACACUACACUACCCUUGUAUAUAACCCAUAAACAAAACAGUAUACUACUACUAGAGAAAGGUUGUUCAUCAGUGUGAUUAAUUUAAGUCUUUAGACAACCUGCCGAGAGUUGAAACGUCGAAGUACCACAUACUAAUUUUAAACCGUAAUCUGUUUUGUUUCACACUAGACGGAGAGAUUUAAAGAAGCUUAAGACUUCAUCAUGGCCUAACUCUGCUUCGAUUACACUUUAAUCGAAAAGAACUUUUCACACGUCGCUUCUAACACAAUUACGUACUCCAUCCUACGCCGUGUACAUACCUAGGACUCUGUUGUAUGGGAGAAGAUACACAACAAAGCCCUACGAAUAUACGUAUGAACGAUUUUCUUUAUAUGUACAAGAAAAGAAUAUUUCAAGUCUAGACUGUUGGUUCCCUUGUCAUGGGUAGUCCAUUUCUACGUCAUGUUUCUAUUGGGUCAUUUUUCAUGAGCCAAGAAGUACGGCUAAAUUUUUUUGUUAAUUGGUGAGGGAGGAAAAUUUAACCAACGAAACGAUAUGACGAUCCAAACUUCCGCCCGAUCCAAGUUAAAAAAUUCUACUCGAUCCAAACUACUACGUGGAAUUCGUUAUCAAAUACUUAGACGGUUAAUGACACCGACCAACACUGUAAGAAUUUACUCUUCAUCUGUCCGAAACAUAUUCUACGUAAUAUGUCAAGAUUAGUUCAUUAAUACCUGUACAAGUUAAUGUCCGGUUCGGGAAACCACACGAUUUACUAAUUUACAACAAUAGAUUGGCUUCGUGAACCUUGAAGACACGUCUCCCAAUAAAAGGGAAAUUUGUUUACUUACAGUCGAGUAUUGUAUACUGCUACGAUAGGAUUGACCGAUUGAUUAAACCGGCAUACUCCAACAUAUAAACUCGAUGUCCACAAACAACAUCACGUACCUCAAAUAGCACUACCGGGAAAACUCAAAGGGGAUAGACAAGCUUGAAGUUGUCUUUUGAUUGGUUUCUAAUUGUCCGUACUAUACCUGAUUGAUAUUCAUUUGGAAAGGUUCAGUCGCAUAACACUACAAUCGUACGGGGGACUUCCUGACGCCCUCAAGAACGGUGCGAAUUAUGUUUGAAACCACAGUUUGUACCAGAUGUGACUGCUAGUACUUAGUGAACAACUACGACUCCAAACUUCUGCCCGAUCCAAGUUUCAAAAUUCUACCCGAUCCAAAGUGAUCGCACACGGUAGCUGAACCAGAGUUGGUAGAAUCCCGUUGGGCAGCGAAAUCCCUCUACCGCCAGGGAAACAGCAGGAGGCCCGAGCCGAGUUACUAACCCUAGCCAGUAGCAACCACCGCCGCUUCCACCAUACCUCAAAAUUGGUACCUUCUCGGCCAUGUUGAGUCUUCCGUUUCAACCUUUCGAGAAUGUUUCUUCAUAGACACUGCUCCAUCGAUCGGACUUUCACCUAGAUGGCGCACGACGAGGACAGGGGAAAGGGAGUUAAGUAGGAGUACCUAGACUGUUCCACUGACAGAGGAAGAGACGAGAGUUGCGGAGAUUUAAACAAUGAAUUUUAAGUUGAUAAAGAGACAAAGAUGGAUAACGGAGACAGUUACGUUACCGAAUUCGGGGGUCCAUCGACGUAUUAAGUAAGUACAGUACGCAAUUUGUUUAGCUAAGAUGAGUUAUGGAGAAUGGGUGAUUAACUUGUAGUUAUAUCUGACUAAUAAUGAUGAAUUUAUUUAGUGAUUUACAUAGUCGUACUAACGGACACGAGUCUGUUAUUAUAAAUAAAGUACAAUUAGAUGUUUACAAGAAAUGGUGUACUUCUAAAGUGUUACCUAACGAAUGAUCGAACCAAAACAAGACAUUGUAUUCAAUGCACUGUGACUUUGUACGUAUAGGGUGUAUCAAAGAAAAGUACAUAUUAACAAAGAAAACAAGUGACCUACGAAGUAAUGAUUUAGAGAUGUAAACACGUAUGGAAGACAGACUGGAUUGUGUGCACAUGAUGUAUAACGGUACUCAAAGUUUUUAAUCUACAAGGACCUCUAUAAGGUUUAAACUAAUAGAUACGGAUAAACUACUGGUUGAAGGAAGAUUCUUUUUUUGGGUCGUAGAUAGAGUCAAUGAAAGGAAAAUACAUAUUAUCCAUGAAAGUAAUUCACGUACGAACUAAUCAUUUUGAAAUGUAAAUGUGUAUACAUAGAAUGGAUUCUGUACAGAUGAUGUUAGGACUAAAAAGCUACCCGUAACUUAUCACUCGCUGCCUCCGACAUAUAGUACUCCAGCAAGCCGUACCUAUCCCGAACAGUACGCCGCGGCAGGAGGGCUGGAGGAAGGGUAGUAUCGGAAUACCCUUAACCGAAUGUUGCACUAAGAUAUGAAAUGUAAUAUAGGAAAGAAUUAUAUACACGAACAGGUAAGUCCAAAUAGAAUCGAACCUUAACCACCUUCGCUAAAAUAGGGGGUAAAAGAAAGAGAUACAAGACAAAAGAUUCGUUGUAUUCACCACAGUUAUUAUAUACUAUGAACAGGUAAAGAUAGAAAUCCGUCCUGUAGGAAAAGUGUUGUUCUCUACUUUUACGAGGAUAAUAUGGAAGCGAAAAUACAACGCACACGACGAAAACUUUUUAACAGAAAAUACAGCGGUAAGUACAUUUGAUGUUCCUGUAUAAUUAUAGAUACUGAGGAUUCCGACUAAGUAC